GACGAACGCUGGCGGCGUGCCUAACACAUGCAAGUCGAACGGGGCAAUUUCUUCGGAGAUUGCUUAGUGGCGAACGGGUGAGUAACGCGUGAGAAACCUGCCUUUCAGUGGGGGACAACAGUUGGAAACGACUGCUAAUACCGCAUAAGCGCACAGGACCGCAUGGUCUGGUGUGAAAAACUCCGGUGGUAUACGAUGGACCCGCGUCUGAUUAGCUAGUUGGUGAGGUAACGGCCCACCAAGGCGACGAUCAGUAGCCGGCCUGAGAGGGUGAACGGCCACAUUGGGACUGAGACACGGCCCAAAACUCCUACGGGAGGCAGCAGUGGGGAAUAUUGGACAAUGGGGGAAACCCUGAUCCAGCGACGCCGCGUGAGUGAAGAAGGCUUUCGGGUUGUAAACCUCUGUGGACAGGGACGAUAAUGACGGUACCUGUUUAGAAAGCCACGGCUAACUACGUGCCAGCAAGCCGCGGU
This 476-nucleotide ribosomal RNA is filed under the name uncultured bacterium. RNAcentral's name for it is "bacterial SSU rRNA". It matches the Rfam family "Bacterial small subunit ribosomal RNA", at positions 28 to 521 of the family's 1533-position model. The record is from RNAcentral.